AUGGGCAUCCCACCCCAGCACUUUCUAGGAAGGAGGGCAGCAUUUUGAAGGGCUGGAAGUAGAGGAAGGAGGUUGCGGGUAGAAGACUCCAUACUUUCUGUGAUGCCUAUUCCUUAGGUAGGAACUUAGGAACCUCAGGAGAGCCUUUAUAUAACCAAAGAUAUUUUUGGACCAUGAAUUCGGAAAUUCUCGGAGCCACCCAUCAGUGCCUGAGCUUCAGUGAGUCCAUAUCCCAUGUCACCCACGGCAAAGGAGAAUCUAAGACUUCUGAAGAGUUUCUUGCUUCUUUCCUGUGGGGCAGUGACUCCACUUCCCAGCAGUAAUGGAAUAUCCUGAAUUAGCUACAUUAAUGUUAGAACCAUUUGGACCUCACCCAGGACUUCAACUACAUUAUGGUUCUAGUAUGUUAGGUUUAUGUUCCCCUGCUUUCUACAAUCCUGUUCAAAGAGUUGCUGACUUAACCACAGAGAGGAUUCCAGAACAUGAGACACAGAAUAAACUUGAGCAAUCAUAGUCCAUCCACUUCAUUUUCUCAUCAAAAACCAAAGGUCCAGUGAAGCUCUGGAACUCAACGCUGUAAAGGAGCGAAGGAGCUUCUAUACAGAGCCUGGAUGCCUGUCUCCUUAUCCUACUUCAGUGGACUUGACUGCAAUCCGGACUAUGC
Molecule: long non-coding RNA, 664 nt
Filed under: Pan troglodytes (chimpanzee)
Lineage: Eukaryota; Metazoa; Chordata; Mammalia; Primates; Hominidae
Description: long non-coding RNA NONPTRT004257
Source: RNAcentral